Molecule: long non-coding RNA, 9339 nt
Filed under: Olea europaea subsp. europaea
Lineage: Eukaryota; Viridiplantae; Streptophyta; Magnoliopsida; Lamiales; Oleaceae
Source: RNAcentral
AUUCUGUCAAGUUUUUCGAUUUCUCUGAAAGUCAAGUCCUAUUUUAUAUUUUAUUUUUGUCAUUUUGGUUGAAGUUAUCUAUUUGAGUUUCAUGAAAAUCCUAAUUUCAUAAUUUUAUUAGAUUUAUAUUACAGCUUUCGUAAAUGGCCCCCUCAUAUUUUUACUAUUUUCAAGUAAUGACUCUGCCUAUCCCAUGGAAAUAUUUCUGUUCGAAAUUGUAGGGAGACGGAAGUAUAGAGGUAAAGACUUGAAAGAAAGGCACAAAAGGCAUGCAUCUCAUGGUAAGUUGCUAAUCUUUAUAUAUGAUUUUCUUAUGUUUUGUGUCCCGAAUAGUCUGUUGUUAUAUUUAAUCGGUAGUGUAUGGAGUGGAGUCGGGCUCUCAUAUACCGUAUUUGUGUUUUAGACACUGGAUCCACACUUACUGUAUUUGGCAAUUGCUUACCGUAUUUGGCAGUGCAACUCACAGUAUUUAACAGUGCAACUCACCGUAUAUGGCAGCUUACUGCAUUUGCAGGCUAAGCUCACUGUAUUUGCACAAAAAUUUGCAUAAAGUGUUUUUAUUCAUACACUAUCUAAAAUAACACAAAUUUUUCCACUUACAAAUAGAAAUACCGUAUAUGUGAAAUCUAUUUUUCACACAUAUAACGAAUUAGAAAAAAAAGUUUAUUUUAUUUAUCUCUUUCUAACAUAAAUUUCAAGUAUGUUGCAAAUUAAAUAAAUAAAUCUGCAAAAUUGCAAACUAAAUAAUAGCAGAUAUAAUUUCAACCCGAGGCCUGUGUAAACACAGUUUUCUUAAGACAAAUUCGCCCGCUCUUUGUGGUGCUAAAUGUUUAGUUCGAGUGCCUGUCUCCAAGUAUACAACGGUAACCAGCAGAAUCCGAGCAUCGCGAUUUUAUUCCGGCGAACUGGGCGAGUGUUCGAACAAUAUCACAUUACUGGAAUGAGAUGGAACAAAAUAGAAAACAGGCUAGAAAUUGUAGACGAAAAUUUUCAAUGCAUGAACUGUUGGAAAUUAAGUGAAUUAUAUAGACUGAAUCUAACAAUUAGUUUUCUGCAUUAACCAUUGCAGGUUUUGGAGUUACACUUCGAUUUCGACCAUUGGAAUUUUAGGAGUUUCAAAAACUCAAAAGUCAUUUGAAAAAAGCACAAAAAAAUUGCAAAACGCGGACAGUCCAAACUGGCCAGUUUUUGCUCCGUUCGGUCCGACAUUCAUGUGCGUAGGUCGCGCCCGCACUCAAGUUCAAGGUUUGAAGGCUAUUUCUGUCCGUGAUUUGCACCCGCUGCGCGCGCACGUGGAGAGAGCAUCUAUGCUACACAUGAUCACACUAUUCCAAUGCAUAUCCAUAUACAAAGUGGUUUUGGUUUCAACGUUUUUCCUAUAUGGGACAGUUUUCCCACCAACAUAGACCAUUUCCAAUGGUCCACUUUAGACUCCAAUUUCUCAUUCAUCCGAGCUUCAUUUUUGACAAAUAAAUACUUAACUUUGAUGUUCUCGCGGAAGAGAACAUAUAUCAACUUUGAUAUUCCAAAUUGGACCAACGGGUCCCACCGAAAAUUGUGCCAAAAGUGAGCCAAUUCACUCUUUUUUCAACAAUCCCCUACAUGAAUGAAAAUUGGAAGAGACACGAAACGUGAGAUAUAAGACUUGGUGAUAAAGUUCAACGGUUGAAGCCUGCAUAGUAUAGGUAGGUGUUACCCUUUGAACAUUCCCUUGUGAAAGCAUAUUUACUUUACUGGCUGACUAGUAGACGUGAUAUCUUUGAAUUGUUCUGCCAUUUGUGUAAAUGAUGAUAUACUUCAUAUAGGAUUCUUCCUAAAACCCUUCAGUUCUCAUUAUUAUGUUCGUUUUGGCCAUGAAUAUAUGCCUGAUUUUGUGAGAGUUUCUAAGAAUUGAGCCCCACACAAUUCUCUUAGAAGCGGCCCUACUUCGUUCUCACAUAGAUGAUUUCUUAUUACAAGUAACCCACAUUAAUUGGCUCAAUUUUCGACAUGUAAGAAUCAUUGAAAGCCUAUUGCUUAACCUUCAUCCUUACGGACAUUACUGUUCUGUCAUAGGAAUGGACAGGAGGUGAUACACCCACAGUGAUUUUAUCAAGUCUUUACAGUUAGGUUGUCCCUUUGAACCUAGAUCUUGGGAUCUCCAGUCAACUAGGUUGGGUUUCCUUCGUAAUGACUUAUUCUUUCAAGGGCUUGAGUCUCAUUCCUUUCGAUGAUUUCCCAACUAACUCUCUAUUUAACCCUUUGGUUAGUGGAUCUACAAUGUUAUCCUUUGACCUAACAUAAUCAAUUGUGAUAACUCCAGUUAAGAGUAGUUGUCUAAUGGUAUUGUGUCUACGACAUAUAUGUCUAGACUUACCAUUAUACAUGUUAUUCUGUGCCCUUCCUAUUGCUGAUUGACUGUCACAAUAUAUGCAAAUUGCAGGCAUAGGUUUGGACCAUCUUGGAAUAUCCUCUAAGAAGUUGCGCAACCAUUUGGCCUCUUCACCAUAUUUAUCUAGGGCUAUAAACUCAAAUUCCAUUGUAGAUCUGGCUAUAACUGUUUGCUUAGAGAAUUUCCACGAGAUGGCAGCACCUCCCAAAGUGAACAUAUAUCCAUUGGUGGACUUUGAGUCUUUUAUAUUAGAUAUCCAAUUAGCAUCACUGUAUCCUUCAAUGACCGCUGGAUGUCUAGUGUAGUAUAUUCCAUAGUCACGAGUAUAUCUUAAGUACCUCAGUACUCUUACUACACCUUUCCAGUGAUCAUUUCCUGGAUUACUCGUAUAUCUACUCAAUUUACUGACUGUGUAGGCUAUGUCUGGUCUUGUACAACUCAUUAAAUACAUUAGACUUCCAAUAACUUUUGAGUAUUCUACUUGAGAGAUACUUUCACCUUUGUUUUUAGAAAGAUGUUGACUUGUAUCUAUUGGUGUUCUAGCCAAGCUAGUAUCGUCCUUGUUGAAUUUUUUCAAAAUUUUGUCCACAUAAUGUGACUGGCUUAGAACAAGCCCAUCUGAUAUUUCUUGAGAUUUUGACUCCAAAUAUAACAUCAGCUAAACCCAUAUCUUUCAUAUCAAAUCUCGAAUUUAAUAUAUUUUUAGUGGAUUCAAUCAUCUUAUUGUUACUACCAACAAUAAGCAUGUCGUCAAUGUAAAGACAUAAAAUUACAUAGUCAUCUUUAGUGUCUUUGACAUUCACACAUUUGUCACAUUCAUUAAUUUUAAAUCCACUCUCUAUCAUGACAUUGUCAAAUUUUUUAUGUCAUUGUUUUGAUGUUUGUUUCAAGCCAUAUAUUGAUGUCACCAAUUUACAGACUUUCUUUUCCUGUUCUGUGAUGAAAACCCCUCAGUUGUUCCAUGUAAAUUUCUUCUUCUAAAUCUCCAUUUAGAAAAGCCAUUUUAAAAUCAAUUUGAUGUACUUCUAGAAUUCGUAAAACAGAAAUCGCAAGUAUCACCUUAAUAGAUGUUAUUCUCAUCACUGGAGAAUACGUAUCAAAAUAAUCAAGGCCUUCCCUUUGUUUGCAACCUUUUAUUACUAAUCUGGCCUUAUACUUUUCGAUAGUUCUAUAUGCUUUCAUUUUCCUUCUGAAAAUCCAUUUGUAGCCUAGUGGUUUACAUCCAUUAGCUCCCAUGUAUGAUUUUGCAGUAUGGAAUCUAUUUCACCUUUAAUGGCAUCUUUCCAUUAAGGUCCUUUCGAGGAAUUUACAACUUCUUGAUAGUUUUGAGGUUCGCUUUCUAGCAUAUAGGUCAGAAAAUUAGGACCAUAAGACUUUUCUGUCAUUUCCCGUUCGCUGUGUCUAACCUCAGUCUCCUCUUUUAAUUCUUCGUCCUGACUAUUUUCAAUUAUUGUCUCAUAUGUUCUUUUAGAGGAGCUGGCUUCCUCUUUGGACUUGUAUGGAAAUACUUCUUCAAAGAAUGAAGCAUUCCUCAAUUCCAUUAUCAUGUUUUUGUGUAUGUCUGGAAUUUUUUAAUCAUACACAAGAAAUCGAUAAGCACUGCUAUUACGUGCAUAGCCAAUGAAAACACAGUCUAUAGUUUUCGAGCCUAUCCUUACCUUCUUUGGUGUUGGAACAACCACUUUUGCAAGACACCCCCACACUCGCAAGUGUUUAUAGGUAGACUUUCUUCCUUUCCAUAACUCAUAAGGAGUCUUUUUCGAUUUCUUUCGGGGCACCUUAUUUAAAAGGUAAUUUGCUGAUAACACAGUUUCCCCCUACAUGUUCUGAGGCAACCCAGAACUUACUAGCAUUUCAUUCAUCAUUUCUUUUAAAGUACAUUUUUUUCAUUCAGCUACACCGUUUUGUUGCGGUGUAUAAGGUGUGGUGAUUCCAUGUUGUGUACAGAAAUCGGUAAAUGAUGCUCCAUACUCAACACCUCGAUCACUCCGUAGUACUUUAAUUUUCUUAUUAAGUUGAGUUUCAAUUCAUUCUUACAGAGAACAAAUUUCUUUAUAGCUUCAUCCUUGCUUUUAAGCAGAUACACAUAACAGUAUUUUGUGCCAUCGUCGACAAAAGUAACAAAAUACAUGUUGCCACCUCUUGUUUGUACAAGUUUUAAGUCACAAAUAUCACUGUGAAUUAAAUCAAGUAGUUCUGUGUUACGUUCAACUGACUUAAAGGACGACCUUGUCAAUUUUGUCUCAAUACAAGUUUCACACUUAUGUUCGGAAUCAUUAUAGAACAUGGGUAUGCAAUUCGAGUUAACUAGUCUACGUAGAGUAUCAUAGUUAACAUGUCCUAGUCUAUCACGCCACAAACUGGAAAACUCAAGCAAAUAAGCAGAAGAAUUUGCUUUAUUCAUUUUUGGUUUCACAACCAUUACAUUCAGCUUAAACAUACCAUCAGAAACAUAACAUCUUCCGAUAAACAUUCCACUUUUUGAUAGAAUGGCUUUGUCUGGCUCAAAUACAAUGCGAAAACCAUGUUUAUUCAAAAGCGAUCCGGACACUAAAUUCUUACGAAUUUUCGGCACAUAUAGCACAUUAUUGAGAGUCAGCUCCUUUCCCCGAGGUCAUCUUUAGAACCGCCUUUCCUUGACCCUUGGUUUCAGAGGUUGCUGAAUUUCCCAUGAACAGCUUCUCCCCGUUCUCAAUUGCUUUGAACGCAGUAAAUAGCUCUUUAUCAUAGCACACAUGCCUUGUAGCACCGAUGUCAAUCCACCACUCCUUAGGGUUUGAACCCACCAUGUUCACUUUAGAAAUGACGGCUGCGAGAUUCAUUUCAGAAACAUCUUGUGCUAUGUAGUCAAUCAUAUUUGCUUCUUUCGUCUUCUUCUUUGGCAUUUUGCACUCCGAAGACUUGUGGCCUACUUUAUCACAAUUGAAGCACUUCCAUUGCAAUUUCGGUCCGUGCUUGGUCUUUUUUCCAUUGGAUGGCCCAAACUUGUUUUUGUAACUCUUACUGCUUUGACCAUGCUCCACAACAUUGGCUUUAGUAACACUAGGAUUGAACCACUUCUUUUCUGAACUUUUGUUGUCUUCUUCAAUUCGAAGUCUAAUAAUAAGUUCUUCAACGUUCAUUUCCUUUCGUUUGUGUUUAAAAUAGUUUUUGAAAUCUUUCCAUGCAGGGGGGGGGGCAAUUUUUCAAUAAUUGCUGCCACUUGAAAGGUUUCACUCAACACCAUUCCUUCGGCAUGAAUUUCGUCAAGAAUCACUUGGAGUUCUUGCACUUGACUUAUUACAGUUUUGGAGUCCACCAUCUUAUAGUCUAGGAAUCUACCGAUUAUAAACUUUUUAGCCCCGGCAUACUUAGUUUUGUAUUUUCGAUCUAAAGACUCCCACAACUCCUUAGCAGUUUUCAUCGUGUUAUACACAUUGUAUAGCGUGUCUGCUAAACUAUUCAUAAUGUAGUUUCGGCAUAAAAAGUUCGAAUGCUUCCAAGCAUCAAGUGCACUGACUGCUUGAAUAACUCAUUCUCCUUCAUUGAGUACAGGAGCAGUCUCAGUCAAGAAUCUUGCAAGAUUCAAGGUGGUCAGGUAAAACAACAUUUUCUGCUACCACCUCUUGAAAUUCAAGCUAUUGAAUUUCUCCGAUUUCUCUCCAUGAUUAACCUGAACAGUAACCGUUUGGCCAGUUGUUGGAGCCACAGUUUGACUCACAACACGACUAGGCAAGUUAGCCAUAGCAGAGCUUGGCCCUUGAGCCAUAGUAGAGUCCACAACUUCAUUUCUAGCAGAAACAGUUUGGGUCACAUCCAUGUUAGUUGGUUCGGCAGCCAUUUCUGAAAAUGAAAUAAUUAUUAGUUUCCAAUAAACAAAUAAACUUGUUUACUACCAAUACGUAUUAAGAAGUUUGUCUUAAGUUUGUUGUUACAUUUAAUUGGUAGUGUAUGGAGUGGAGUCGGGCUCUCAUAUACCGUAUUUGUAUUUUAGACACCGAAUUCACACUUACCGUAUUUGGCAAUUGCUUACCGUAUUUGGUAGUGCAACUCACCGUAUUUGGCAGUGCAACUCAACGUAUUUGCAACUCACCAUAUUUGACAGUGCAACUCACCGUAUAUAGCAGCUUACUGCAUUUGCAGGCUAAGCUCACCGUAUUUGCACAAAAAUUUGCAUAAAGUGUUUUUAUUCAUACACUAACUAAACUAACACAAAUUUUUCUACUUACAAAUAGAAAUACCGUAUAUGUAAAAUCUAUUUUUCACACAUAAUGAAUUACAAAAAAAAACAGUUUAUUUUAUUUAUCUCUUUCUAACAUAAAUUUCAAGUAUGUUGCAAAUUAAAUAAAUAAAUCUACAAAAUUACAAACUAAAUAAAUAGCAGAUAUAAUUUCAACCCGAGGCUUGUGUAAACAUAGUUUCCUUAAGACAAAUUCGCCCCCUCACCGUGGUACUAGAGCUUUAGUUCGAGCCCCUAUCUCCCAGGAUACAGCGAUAAUCAGCAGAACCCAAGCACUGCAAUUCUACUCAAGCGAAUUGGGCGAGUGUUCGAACAAUAUCACCUUACUGAAAUGAGACGGAACAAAACAGAAAACAGGCUGGAAAUUGCAAACGAAAAUUUUCAGUGUAUGAACUGCUGGAAAUUAAGUGAAUUAUAUAGAUUGAAUCUGAUAAUUAGUUUCUGCAUUAACCAUUGCAGUUUUUGGAGUUACACUUCAGUUUCGACCAUUGGAGUUUUAGGGGUUUCAGACACUCAAAAGUCAUUUGGGAAAACCACAAAAAAAUUGCAAAACACGGACAGUCCAAACUGGCCAGUUUUUGCUCCGUUCGGUCCGACAUUCGUAUGCGCAGGUUGCAGUCACACUCAAGUUCGAGGUCCGAAAGCUAUUUCUGUCCGUGAUUUUCACCCCCUGCGCGGGCACGUGGAGAGAGCCUCUAUGCUACACAUGAUCACACUAUUCCAAUGCAUAACCAUAUAUAAAGUGGUUUUGAUUUCCAUGUUUUUCCAAUGUGGGACAAAGUUUUCCCACCAACAUAGAUCAUUUCCAAUGGUUCACUUUAGACUCCAAUUUCUCAUUCACCUGAGCUUCAUUUUUGGUAAAUAAAUACAUGAUUUCGAUGUUCUCGCGGAGAAUAACACAUAUCAACUUUGAUAUUCCAAAUUGGAUCAACGGAUCCCACCAAAAAUUGUGCCAAAAGUGAGCCAAUUCACUCAUUUUUCCAACAUAGUCAUCACCUUAUAUUGGCUUCCUUUGGAUGUUUUUACUCUCUUGAGAAAAGGAGAUAAGUUUGUCAACAGAACUUCUACACAACCCUCUUUAAGUUUUCUGAUCAUAUUCGACCAUCCAUUAUUCGUAUACAGUGUAUUCUACAAAACACAUACAAGUAUAGGACACACAUAAGUUGCCAUAUACUUUUUCUUUCUUUUCAAUUCCUAGACCUUUUUGUUAUUUUCUUCAAAAAAAAAUUGAACUCUGAUAUUCACUACAUAAAACAUUUAAAGAGAGAAAGAAGUUCACAAAGUAUGAUGAUUAAAAAUGGGUUAAUUUCAUAAGCUGUAACUGAACUUAAUCGAAAAUCUUAAGACGGUCAUUGAAGUUUAAAACUUGCAGCAACGGUCACUGAACUUAUGGGCGCUUUCAGUAACGGUCACUGAUGGACCAAAACACGUGAAUUGGAUCCUUGGGGACCUCAAGUGUAAAUUUCAUCUAAUUUAAUUUGCUUAAAAUCUGCCCUUGAAAUUUAGAAAUCUGGCCAAAUUCCUCCCACUUUCACCAUUUUUUGCCGGAACCGGAAUUUGUCAAAUUCGACCACCAUACCGCCAAAUAAAUCACCUGAUUUUUACACCACCAACACCUCCUCAUCCCCUUCCACAAUCCCAUUCCAACAACCAACCAAAACACAUCAAAAAUCACAUGAAAUUCAAGUUCAAAAAAACCAUCCCCACCCAUGGUUUUACCACCAAUUUCGGCCAAUUUGAGAUAAAUUGGUGAGGGCCCAUAUGUGCAUCUUGUUUGCCAUGAUGAUGUUGACGCCGAUGCCAAAAAUUGGGGAGGAAAGUUCAUUGUCGCGGCCUUCGAAUUGGUACGGGUUAGAUUUUGAUUUAAAUUGUUUUGUUAUGGCAUGGAACCAUGUACCUGUUCAUCUUGGGGAGUACUAACAGCCUGUGAUGGAGUUUUGGUAUGGGUGAUGGUGGAUUGGCUGGAAUUGGAGAUAAAAUCGUGUGUGUGUAUGGUUUUUCGAACUUGAAUUUCGCCAUGAUUUUUGAUGUGUUUUGGUUGAUUGUUGCUAUAGGAUUGUGGAGGAGGUGCUAGUGGUGUAAAAGUCCGGUGCUUUAUCCUGCAGUAGGGUGGUCAAUUUUGGCUUUGAAUCCGCCGGCGUUGGAGAAGAAAGCUUGAAAGGGAGAAAAAAAUUGUCUAAAGAGUGAUUUGGUCCUCAAGGUUUGAUUUUCACGUGUUUUGGUCCUUCAAGUUUGAAUGAAAAUCAUAAUGGGCCUUCGGUGACCGUUUCUAAAAGAAAAUGUAACUUCAGUGACCGUUGCUGCAAGUUUUAAACUUCAAUGACCGUUUUGAGAUUUUCGGUUAAGUUCAAUAACCGUUUGUGAAAUUAGCCCUUAAAAAAUUGUAUUUAUUCUUAUUUUUUCUUAUCAUCUACAAUUGUAUGCUAUGUUGUAGUGGAAAAAAACAAAUGGAGAGACAGCUGGUAGAUUACCAUAGUGAUCACUUUGGAGGCUUCAAAAUAUCAGAUGGAAUUGACGAUCAAAUCAGAGAUAAAAGCAGACAUCCUCUCAUUCCAAAGAUCUUCUUGAUUACCAAGUUCAAGCCUUUUACAGUUCAUAGAAAUAAGAUAUUACAUUUGUAUUGUCUUUCUUUUUCUUGUCUUGGUUCCAUCAAUGUCAUCUAUAUCUUCUUUUGGAUCAUAUGCAGCUAAGGCAAAUACAAUCUAAUACUACAAAGUUAGAUGAUAAAAGCAACAGCUAGAUGUUAAUU